GAUGAAGAACGUAGCGAAAUGCGAUAAGUAGUGUGAAUUGCAGAAUUCAGUGAAUCAUCGAAUCUUUGAACGCACAUUGCGCCCCUUGGUAUUCCGAGGGGCAUGCCUGUUCGAGCGUCAUUAUCACCCUUCAAGCUCUGCUUGGUGUUGGGGCCUGCUGUUAGGCAGCCCUUAAAAUUAGUGGCAGUGACCAUUAGGCUCUAAGCGUAGUAAUUCUUCUCGCUAUAGCGUCUAGUGGUUCCGCGCCAAAACCCCCAAUUUUUUAUGAUUGACCUCGGAUCAGGUAGGGAUACCCGCUGAACUUAAGCAUAUCAAUAAGCGGAGGA
RNAcentral lists this unclassified non-coding RNA (326 nucleotides) under soil metagenome. RNAcentral's name for it is "partial contains 5.8S ribosomal RNA, internal transcribed spacer 2, and large subunit ribosomal RNA". The stretch from base 1 to 120 matches the Rfam family "5.8S ribosomal RNA", at positions 35 to 154 of the family's 154-position model. The record is from RNAcentral.